UUCUCCACAAAGCAAGAGAGAGUCCUGUUAGCAGAUUUCCUGCCUCACAGAUUGAAUCCCAGGUUCCCACCUAGGAACAGGAGAGCCCAGGCUCCUCCCCGCUGCAAUGGGCUAGAACUUCCUGUGGCUCCACCCCAUCCUCCCAGUGCGCAUGCUUGUCGGAGAUUCUCAGGCGACCUUCCCUCUUAUCUUCCUCUUGCAUUUAUCAGAAGUGCUGAACCCUUGACGUGCCUUAUCUUAUUUGCUCCUCACAACAAAUCUUAUGAGAUGCAUCACUACCAGAAGUUGUCCAGAAAGAACUGUGACCGUAUGUUUUAAUUAAAUAAUUUUUCAUCCAGUUUUUUUCUUUGCAUAUAAAGAAACAGAAUCCUGACAUCUGAUUGAAUUAUUGGCUCUCCUGAUGGUUGCACGAUGGCUGCAGCAGUUCCAGAUGUCCCAUCGAGACACAAAAAGAUCCCAGAUGGAAGAUGCCAUCUCCUCCUAUGUGCCUCUUUUUAAGAGUUACACAGGAGUGAGGAGGACCACCAAACCAAACUAAGACUCGGAGGAAAAAAAAAAAAGAAAAAGAAGAAAAUGUCUGCUAGGUGCCAUGCCACUCAAACAGCCAAUGGAAAGGCCCACGUGGCGAGAGCUAAGGCUUCCUGCCAACAGGCAAGUGAGGAAGCCCAGUCAGCUGCCUGCAGUCCUGACCCAUGAAGAGCCUGACUGAAAGUGAAUGAGCAACCCUGAGCUAGGACAACCCAGCAAGGCCCAUCCUGAAUUCCUGCCCACAAAAACUCUGAGACAGUAAAUGUUCGUUGUUUUAAACCACAAAGUUUUGAAGUAAUAGAUUAAUUAGGUAACCAAUUGGGACUGCAGUAUUCCUUCAGGGAACUUGAAUAGUCAUUCUGUAUAUGGAAAUUGUACACAUCUUAAAAUUGCUGGACUAAAGUGAGAAGAGACUGUCUUGAGUCAACUGGAUAAAGUGGAAAAAAAAUUAAUUUGGAAAUCAAUAGAAUUCUGGCCUUGGCUUUGUCACUAAGAAACACUUAUAAGUAAUUUCACUUCUCUUGAAAUUAUGAUCAUUAUCUAUAACAUAAAGGAACUGAGCUAAAUGUUAUCUGAUGCCUCUUUAGGCUCUCAAACUCCAUAGAUUUAUGACAUGCUUGAAAUUCACUUUGUUUCACCCUAAUUCAGAGCUUUGUUUCACUAGCUCUAGAAUUAGAUGCCUUGGGUUUAAAUUGCAAUUCAGUCACUUAUUUAAAUAAUUGUACUUGGAUGAGUGAUGUUGCCAUUUUAAGCCUCAGUUUCCCCAUAGAUUCAUUGAGAAGAUCAAAUAAGAUGAUGCAGAUAAAGCUCUUAGUUUGUGGGGACACUUAGUAAGUGCUUAAUAAAUACAGGCAGUUGUGUUAUCUAUGUUGUAGCAGCACAUUUUGUAAAAUAAAACAAAGUUGAAAUCACAGAUCUAUAUUUUUAUGUA
RNAcentral lists this long non-coding RNA (1459 nucleotides) under Homo sapiens (human). RNAcentral describes it as "HSALNT0322706". Lineage: Eukaryota; Metazoa; Chordata; Mammalia; Primates; Hominidae. The record is from RNAcentral.